RNAcentral lists this unclassified non-coding RNA (3846 nucleotides) under Hevea brasiliensis (rubber tree). Lineage: Eukaryota; Viridiplantae; Streptophyta; Magnoliopsida; Malpighiales; Euphorbiaceae. The record is from RNAcentral.
AAUAAAAAUAAAAAUAAAAUAAAAAGGACAAAAAUAAAUAUAGAAAAAUCCCCACAACCAUGGAUUUCUUAUUUCUCCUCCUGAGAAACGUUUCGAUUUGAAGAAUCAAUAGCGUGAGGACGAGGCUCAUUUGUUUGGAUCUGAUUUUUAUUCAAUUGAGAGAUUUUGAAUAUUAGGGAUUUUGAGCUGCAAGGAAGGAUGGAGGAUGAUAAGAAGAAGAAGAGAAACAAGAAAAAGAAAAACAAGCAGAUCAAAAUUACGGAAGAUGAUAUCGCUGUUGACGUGAAUCAGAAUGGUGCGAGUAAUGGAAAGAAUGAUCGUGACCAAGUAACUGACCUCGCUGAGGUGCAAAAUGGUGCUGUGCGAAAUGGUGAUACGGCGGCCAAUAGACAUGAGCACAAUGGAACAGAAAUGCCCAUCUUAGCUGAAGCUGAGAAGCAACAGUGGGUGCAAAGAGAGGCCAUAUUGAAAGAGUCAAUAAAACAAUUACAGAAUGAAAAUGAUACAUAUACGCAGAAAGAGGCUUUCUUAGAAGGGAGAAUCAAACAGUUAAAGAAGGAAAAUGAUUCACAAAUACAGAAACUGGUUACAUUAGAAGAGACGAUCAAGCAAUUGAGAAAUGUACAUGAUUUAGCUUUACAGAAGGAGACUACCUUGGAAGGAACAAUCCAACAGUUGAAAAAUGAAAAUGAUUCACACAUGAAGAAAGAGGCCGGUCUAGAGAAUGAAAUCAUACAACUGCAGAUUGAAAAAGAGUCGAGUCUUCAAAAAGAGGCUGGUCUAGAGAAGAUAAUUGUACAACUGCAGAGUGAAAAAGAGUCUAUUCUUCAAGAAGAGGUAAUUUUGAUUGGAAUUUAAUUUUAUACAAACUGUAUUUUCGUCUUUUCAACACUCUAGGCGUCUUUGACAUCAUCUGUCUUGCAACCAACACCUGAAAGCAGUAUGCUUGUGUGUACAAUCUUAUGACAAUUCAGCUUUUUAGCAUUUGAAACUGGGUGCUCUUUAUGGUUGGUUGCCUGCAGCUUCUUGGAUUAAUUGGUAACUUGAAACCAUAUUAAAUGUAGGCCCACUUGAAGGAGCAACUUCAGCACUUAUUGGAGGAGAAGACUGCUUUGGUUUUAAAAGGGGUAAUAUUUUGUACUUCGUGAUCUUUAGUUGAUCAUAAAAUAGGAAGUGCUUCAGUUGAUUGGCAUUGUACAAGGUAAAUUGCAGUAUUGAGAACUGAACUUUGGAUGAAUUUUAGGUUGAUUACUGAGGAUCAAUUUCUUCUAAUUUAUCAUCUAACUUACAAGAAAUGCAAACAUCCUACUGAAUUAUUUUAUUGGGAGUUCAACAGAAUCCACUGGCAUUUGUUCCUGACAUUUAAAUAAAGACUAGAAGCAAUACUUAAAUCAUUAAUAAUCUCUAGAUAGGCAAAAGGAAAAAAAGAAGUAGCAAUCGAUGUUGGAAACUGCGUAGAUAAUUCACCAUGAUGCUUGCAAUUCUGGCAACAGAGACGAAAUUGUAGACGAAAUAGAAAUUUGGCGAAGAAAUUGUAACAAGUUGAUCUUUAGUGACUUGAAAUUAAGGCCAAGUUUAUUGACAAAUGAUGUAAUUUAAUUGCACUAUGCACUCUACUUCUGCUGUUUGCUUAUGUCUGCAUUAGUAAGGUACAAUGUCAUCUAGAUUUGCAAUGUUAAAUAACUUCUGCGAGAUCCACAGGCAAGCUUGGAGGAAAAAAUUAAACAACUAGAGAGUGAUAAAUAUUCGUGGACCCUAACAGAGGUAAUUACAUUUUGGCUAAGUGUACCAGUGUCACUUCCCCUUCCCUUCUCCUUUUCCAAGAUUAUGUUUGGUUAAUUGUUGAGCUUAUUUGUAGAUGUUGUAUCAUAUGCAUUCAAACAUAGGCUAUUUCACAUUGAUCUAGUACACAUAAGUCUGCAAAUGUGGAUCAUUUUCUUUCAAAUUCUUUGAUGCAUGAUGGAAUUUAGAUUCGUCCAAUAUUAGUGUAGUUUUGAGGUAAAUACUAGAUAGCUAGAUUUUGUCUUUAAAAGAAGUAUAUUAUUUUAUUUUGAAAUGUGGAACAGUGGAAGGGUGUUGCCCAAUAUAUGCAAUGUUAAGUGUGUAUUAGAUAUGAAAGGGAAUCUUAGAUAGAGACGCCUUUUCCCUUCAUUUGGAACUCUGCCACAGGUUAUUUUGUGGCAUCAUCUUCGUUAUUUCCAGUUAAAAUUUUCAUUCACCCUCUUCAUUUAUGUGAAGCUGAUGCAAAAGUAAAAGUUGAAUUCCUAAUUUUGGGAACAUAUUAUUUUCCAGAAUACAACCAAAGAAACAAUUGCUAGAAUGAAUGUUGAUAUCACAAGACUACAGAUGCAGGUACAGCUUUAUUUACCUUUGUUUUUUACAUGACCAUUUCUGUUCAAACUUCUUAUUGAAUUAAUGUUGUUGUCAGUGUUGCCAAUAGUUUUACUACCUUAAGAGUGCUGCAAAUUAUCAAUGGACAGGAAAUGACCAUUCAGUAUAACUUUAUUUUUGUUCUAAUAUGGAAAUUAAAACAAAGCCUGGCAGGUGGUGGAGUUGGAAGAAUCCAGAAAUAUACUUUUGAAAGAAAACCAACAACUGAUGGACAACAUAUCUGGUCAGCGGUUACAGCUUCAGAAUGUGAAGGCGAACGUCACCUCUGCUAACACAUCACAUGAACUGAAAAAGGUUUGUUUCCCAUGCCAAUGUAAAAUUUUUGGCCAUAGGCUAAUCUGUCAAUCUGUUUUGAUUGUGAAAGGAUUUUUGGUGCCAUAUUAUUUGUAUUUUAAAUUUAAUGCUAUUGUUGUUGGAGUUGACAUUUUGAAUUGAAGAACAUAUAUAUAUAUGUAUUCUGAUGCAUUGUGUCUGAUGUAGCAUGAUGAACGUGAGGACUUGAACUCCCAAAUUGGAGCAGCCUGUGCACUGGUUGACAAAUUGAUUACAGAAAAUGCAGAGCUUGUUGAGAAAGUAAUAAACUGUCCCAUUUUGCCUGUCCUAUGGUUAUGUUUUCAAGUUGUAUUUAUUAAUGUCACUGCUUUUAUUAUCCUUUCAAAUUUUGUUGCAAAAAGUAGUUUGAAACUAUUAUUUAGUUGCUUUAGAGGUUUUAUGACUACAGCAUAUCGGUUUUAUGAUCGAGGGAAAAAAAAAAACGUUUCUAAUCAAACAUGUUCAAGAUAAUACUUUAAUAUUUGUUGUACACCUGCAUUGUUUCUCAGGUGAAUGAGUUGUACAUUAAGCUUGACCAACAAAGUAGAGCAUCUGGACAUUCUUCUACCAUUGGCAGCGAUCUCAUGGUUGAAUCUAGGGCAGCUGAUUCCAUACUUGAAUCUAGUGAAAAGAUGUCUGCUUUGGGCCAUAAGAUGGAGUUACUGGAAGUUGAACCUGCUGCUGGAGAUGCAUAUGCUGCAGAAGUUGACUCGGGAGAAAUCGUGCAAAUACCUUUGAAUGAUAAUGAGCUUCGGGAUUUGGAACUGAAGGAGGCUGUUGAGAAUGAUAAGAUGGAGGAAGCUGUGCCGCUUACAGAUGCUCCAAUGAUUGGGGCUCCUUUCCGGUUAAUAUCAUUUGUUGCUAAAUAUGUUAGUGGUGCUGAUUUGGUUGACAAAAGCACUUCAAAUUCUGUGCCUUAGCUUAGCAAGGUUAAAGUUUUUUUGUUUUUUUUAAUUAUCAUUUCAUAUACAAAUUGCUUGUCAUGUGGAGAUUAAAGAUGCAUCUAAUAUUGCUCUUUGUUUUUUUAUUCACAGUAUUUAAGCUACUUAAAGAAAAGAUAAACCAGGAGAGUUUAUAUUGCUAAUUUUAUGUCAUGGACAAUGACAGCGUUGUUUAUACUAUGAAAAAAAAAAAAAAAAAAAA